UACGUAGGGCGCAAGCGUUGUCCGGAAUUAUUGGGUGUAAAGAGCUUGUAGGCGGUUUGUCGCGUCUGCUGUGAAAAUCCGGGGCUCAACCCCGGACUUGCAGUGGGUACGGGCAGGCUAGAGUGUGGUAGGGGAGACUGGAAUUCCUGGUGUAGCGGUGAAAUGCGCAGAUAUCAGGAGGAACACCGAUGGCGAAGGCAGGUCUCUGGGCCACUACUGACGCUGAGGUGCGAAAGCGUGGGGAGCAAACAGG
Molecule: ribosomal RNA, 253 nt
Filed under: uncultured bacterium
Lineage: Bacteria
Description: partial 16S ribosomal RNA
Rfam family: Bacterial small subunit ribosomal RNA
Source: RNAcentral